AGAGUUUGAUCCUGGCUCAGAUUGAACGCUGGCGGCAGGCUUAACACAUGCAAGUCGAGCGGAGUGAUUGUGCUUGCACAAUCACUUAGCGGCGGACGGGUGAGUAAUGCUUAGGAAUCUGCCAUUUAGUGGGGGACAACAUUCCGAAAGGAAUGCUAAUACCGCAUACGUCCUACGGGAGAAAGCAGGGGAUCUUCGGACCUUGCGCUAAAUGAUGAGCCUAAGUCGGAUUAGCUAGUUGGUGGGGUAAAGGCCUACCAAGGCGACGAUCUGUAGCGGGUCUGAGAGGAUGAUCCGCCACACUGGGACUGAGACACGGCCCAGACUCCUACGGGAGGCAGCAGUGGGGAAUAUUGGACAAUGGGCGGAAGCCUGAUCCAGCCAUGCCGCGUGUGUGAAGAAGGCCUUUUGGUUGUAAAGCACUUUAAGCGAGGAGGAGGCUACCUAGAUUAAUACUCUAGGAUAGUGGACGUUACUCGCAGAAUAAGCACCGGCUAACUCUGUGCCAGCAGCCGCGGUAAUACAGAGGGUGCGAGCGUUAAUCGGAUUUACUGGGCGUAAAGCGUGCGUAGGCGGCUGAUUAAGUCGGAUGUGAAAUCCCUGAGCUUAACUUAGGAAUUGCAUUCGAUACUGGUCAGCUAGAGUAUGGGAGAGGAUGGUAGAAUUCCAGGUGUAGCGGUGAAAUGCGUAGAGAUC
Molecule: ribosomal RNA, 696 nt
Filed under: uncultured bacterium
Lineage: Bacteria
Description: bacterial SSU rRNA
Rfam family: Bacterial small subunit ribosomal RNA
Source: RNAcentral